This 466-nucleotide ribosomal RNA is filed under the name uncultured bacterium. Its description in RNAcentral is "bacterial SSU rRNA". It matches the Rfam family "Bacterial small subunit ribosomal RNA", at positions 329 to 793 of the family's 1533-position model. The record is from RNAcentral.
UUCCAGACUCCUACGGGAGGCAGCAGUGAGGAAUAUUGGUCAAUGGCCGAGAGGCUGAACCAGCCAAGUCGCGUGAGGGAUGACGGCCCUACGGAUUGUAAACCUCUUUUGUCGGGGAGCAAAAGACGCCACGUGUGGCGUUCCGAGAGUACCCGCAGAAAAAGCAUCGGCUAACUCCGUGCCAGCAGCCGCGGUAAUACGGAGGAUGCGAGCGUUAUCCGGAUUUAUUGGGUUUAAAGGGUGCGCAGGCGGAGGUGCAAGUCAGUGGUCAAAUUGCGGGGCUCAACCCCGUACUGCCGUUGAAACUGCAUCCCUUGAGUGCGCGAGAAGUAUGCGGAAUGCGUGGUGUAGCGGUGAAAUGCAUAGAUAUCACGCAGAACUCCGAUUGCGAAGGCAGCAUACCGGCGCGCAACUGACGCUCAUGCACGAAAGCGUGGGUAUCGAACAGGAUUAGAUACCCGCGUAC